RNAcentral lists this transfer RNA (74 nucleotides) under bacterium. Its description in RNAcentral is "tRNA-His". It matches the Rfam family "tRNA". Rfam says of the family: Transfer RNA (tRNA) molecules are approximately 80 nucleotides in length. The record is from RNAcentral.
GUGCCUAUAGCUUAAUGGUAAAGCUCCGCUCUGUGGCAGCGGCUACACGGGUUCGAUCCCCGUUAGGCACCCCA